UAUUCCUCAAUUUCACAUACUUGAGCUGAAGCUUUUCAUUUAAAUUUUAUCCGCUUUUGUAGUUAGGUGUUAUUUAAUUUGUUAGCAUCUAUCUAUUUCGUACUAUAUAUUAACUUCUUACUAAUUCUGUAAUCGAAAGAGGCGGAAGAAGUAAUAUAGUUAAUUUUGGUACUGAUAGAUGUUGACUUUUAUUUAGUGACAUCUAGCUUUUAUAUGUUAAAAUUUGAGUCUACACUUAUUUGUAAUCGAAAGAGGUGAAUAUUACAGUAAUCAAUUAUAUCAAGUAGGGUAACCGAAAGGGACCUACUAAAAAGAGCAUAUUUUAGUUCAAGUAUAUAUUUCUGGUUAUUUAAUGUUACCAUUUUAACGAUUAAUUAGUAUAACCGAGAGGAGUGCAAUUAAUUAUUUAACAAUAGUAAUAAUAUAUAAAUGUAAUCGUGAGAGGCAUUUAUACAUUUAUGAGAAAUAAAAAUUGAAGAAUAAAUAUAUCUACUGUAUAAUAAAAAUAUUAAGUGAAGGCACGAUCCCAACACCCUUUUUAUUAUAUUUGUGAAAAACUAGAUAUUUUCUAUUGCUUUAUUCGUGCAUUUUUAGUUAGUUAAUUCACAACACAACUCUUUCUGAUUUUCUCAAAUAGUAAUUAAAACAAAAAAUGUCUGUAGAAUAGAUAAAUCAAUCUCUAUGGGUUUAACAUCUUUCUAUAUUAUUAUUUGACAGAGUACGAGUUUAAAUCAUAUACGCCAGACACUCGUCAGCCAGCUCGAGGCGGAGGUCGAGCAAGUAGAGGUCACCCUAGAGGGGGAGGCUAGGCCAGAUAUUAUGCUCUUCCUAUUUGGACGGAGAUCCAGGUACAUCUUAUCAGCCUCGGUAUUAGUGUAUGGAGUUACUUGCUUAUAGGAGACUUCAAGGUACACCUUCCUGUGUCCGUAGGCCUCGGAGUCCCCUUCAAUCCUAUCUUUUCCUUGUUUCUUUAUGUUUCUUCAUAGAGAGUGAUGUAUAGGUUUGUGCAACAUUGUAUCUAGAGCUUGUAACUUAUAUCUCACUGGGUUUUGGGAGUUGUAUUCAUAUUGAGUUGCAGUUAUUACUUUA
This is a long non-coding RNA of Nicotiana tabacum (common tobacco), 1089 nucleotides long. RefSeq lists it as uncharacterized. The record is from RefSeq and is a predicted model, not a curated record. NCBI's taxonomy places the organism in Eukaryota, Viridiplantae, Streptophyta, Magnoliopsida, Solanales, Solanaceae.